AUUGAACGCUGGCGGCAGGCCUAACACAUGCAAGUCGGACGGUAGCACAGGGGAGCUUGCUCUCCGGGUGACGAGUGGCGGACGGGUGAGUAAUGUCUGGGAAACUGCCCGGUGGAGGGGGAUAACUACUGGAAACGGUAGCUAAUACCGCAUAACGUCUUCGGACCAAAGUGGGGGAUCUUCGGACCUCACGCCACCGGAUGUGCCCAGAUGGGAUUAGCUGGUAGGUGAGGUAACGGCUCACCUAGGCGACGAUCCCUAGCUGGUCUGAGAGGAUGACCAGCCACACUGGAACUGAGACACGGUCCAGACUCCUACGGGAGGCAGCAGUGGGGAAUAUUGCACAAUGGGCGCAAGCCUGAUGCAGCCAUGCCGCGUGUAUGAAGAAGGCCUUCGGGUUGUAAGGUACUUUCAGCGGGGAGGAAGGCGGUGAGGUUAAUAACCUCGCCGAUUGACGUUACCCGCAGAAGAAGCACCGGCUAACUCCGUGCCAGCAGCCGCCGUAA
Molecule: ribosomal RNA, 506 nt
Filed under: uncultured bacterium
Lineage: Bacteria
Description: partial 16S ribosomal RNA
Rfam family: Bacterial small subunit ribosomal RNA
Source: RNAcentral